GUGUUAUUCACAAUCCUUUAAAGAAAAAACUUAUUUAUAAGUAGUGUGACCAGGUAACAACCUCCAGUAUUUUCUAUAUAUCUUAUAGUAGCAACUGGAAAAUAAAGAAUAGAUAUACACUUUCACACACCAACAACAGUUUUUCUUUGAAAUCUAAGUCCUUUGGCAAAACUAUAGCUCAGAAAUCAGUCAUAACUGUUAAACACAUUUUGUAAAUCAAUUUUCUGACUUGUUUAUAAAAAGUUAGAAUUUUUCC
RNAcentral lists this long non-coding RNA (256 nucleotides) under Bos taurus (domestic cattle). RNAcentral describes it as "long non-coding RNA NONBTAT025653". The record is from RNAcentral. Lineage: Eukaryota; Metazoa; Chordata; Mammalia; Artiodactyla; Bovidae.